Molecule: ribosomal RNA, 245 nt
Filed under: Borrelia miyamotoi
Lineage: Bacteria; Pseudomonadati; Spirochaetota; Spirochaetia; Spirochaetales; Borreliaceae
Description: partial 23S ribosomal RNA
Rfam family: Bacterial large subunit ribosomal RNA
Source: RNAcentral
CGUGAGGGAAAGGUGAAAAGAACCCCGGGAGGGGAGUGAAAUAGAACUGAAACCGUAGACUUACAAGCAGUCAAAGCCAUGAUUAUUCAUGGUGAUGGCGUGCCUUUUGUAUAAUGAACCUGCGAGUUACCAUGGCUAGCAAGGUUAAGGCAUAGUAGUGCUGGAGCCUUAGCGAAAGCGAGUCUUAAAAGGGCGAUUUAGUUAGUUGUGGUAGACCCGAACCCGAGUGAUCUAUUUAUGGCCAG